RNAcentral lists this non-coding RNA (276 nucleotides) under Daucus carota (carrot). Lineage: Eukaryota; Viridiplantae; Streptophyta; Magnoliopsida; Apiales; Apiaceae. The record is from RNAcentral.
UUGGGAGUUGUGGGGUCUGUGGCGCCGCACAUUGCUCCAUAAACCCUAAACCUUUCUCAUUAAAAGAGAAUGACAAUGUUAUAGUGAGGGAUUUCUCUGGUAUUUGCCCUUUAUAAUUAAAUACCAAAGCAAAUAAUGUGCAGCAAGCCACAGGGUAGAUAAGGGAGUCUUGCACUUCCUUAUAGCCCCUCGGGUCAGGGUUAGAGGUGCUCUGCCGGUAUCAGACAAAUGCCUCGCGGGGUUUGUUCCUCCCCUCCCGUGCAACUCCCAACUUUU